RNAcentral lists this long non-coding RNA (377 nucleotides) under Monodelphis domestica (gray short-tailed opossum). Its description in RNAcentral is "lncRNA (ENSMODG00000039061.1)". The record is from RNAcentral. Lineage: Eukaryota; Metazoa; Chordata; Mammalia; Didelphimorphia; Didelphidae.
CUUAAGUUCGCUUUUCAGAAUGUAAGAAGUCAGGAGUAAACUGAACCUGGGGCUUUUAAGUGUUAGAGAAGAAAUGGCUCUGCUGUCCCCAAAUCUGCCCAAAUCUGGGUUCUGAUAAACCCAGAAUCCUCAGGGAGAUGAGGUGUUAAGACAGGAAAAUCUCCACAUUUUCUCAGAAUAGCUCACUGAGAACCUUGGAAGAUGGGACAGAAGAGGACAGCCCAAAUUCAGGUGGAGGUGUGUUUUGGGGUUUGACACAUCAUAGCUGAACUUGGGGACACCAGAAAGGGAAUAAGGAGCAUGCACAGGUUUGGGGGAUUCCCCUAGACUGCCGGAGCCCUUGGUGUGCAUGUUCCCUGUUCCCCCCAUUGUCCCAC